RNAcentral lists this ribosomal RNA (337 nucleotides) under Spurgia euphorbiae. RNAcentral's name for it is "partial 16S ribosomal RNA". The record is from RNAcentral. Lineage: Eukaryota; Metazoa; Arthropoda; Insecta; Diptera; Cecidomyiidae.
AUUUUUAAUUGGAAUCUUGUUUGAAUGGUUUAAUGAAAUAAAAUCUUUUUUGUAUUAAUAAUUUAAUUUUAUUUUUUAGUUAAAAAGCUAAAAUAUAAAAAAGGGACGAGAAGACCCUAUAGAAUUUUAUAAAGUUUUAUUAAUUUUAUAAUUAAUUAUUUAUAUUCUAUUAGUAAAAUUUUAUUUUAUUGGGGCGAUAAUUAAAUUUAUUAAACUUUUUUAUAAAUUAUCAUUAAUAAAUGUAUAUUUGAUCUAAUUUUAUUGAUUAAAAAUUUAAAUUACCUUAGGGAUAACAGCAUAAUAUAAUUAAUAAGUUCUUAUUAUUAAUUGUGUUUAU